GAUAAAGGCUGCUCAAGCCAAACCCCGUGAUGAUAAAGAUAACGAUGUUGAAGUAGGUGAUCCAGUUGCACCUUCCGUGCCAGCUCCACCACAAGACACUCAGUUUUCGGUCGAGACUUCAGCUAUCCUAAGCGCAAUUGAGUCAUUGUGAGAUAACAUUGGCUCAUUAAGUGAUGUGGUUAGUGGCAUAGAUGCUAGGAUGACCAUGAUGGAGGAACGCAGCUUAUCUUAUAUCUCAAUUUCCUCCACCGCGGCCUUCUCAAGAUAGUUAGAACUCAUCUUGCAUAUCAUGCAUUUUCAUGGUUUAAUUGUAUAUUUUACAUUGUUUUCUUUUCCUAUUUUUAUGUUCGUUACUUGUUUGUUUCACUUAAAUGUUAACUUCCUAUUUUGGGAUACUUUGGAAUUUAAUGUUAAUUAUUUGUUCUUCAUUUCUUUAUGUUUUGGAGUAACCAUUUUCUUCCCCUUUAAGUUUUAUUUUUAUUUGUUUUGAUAUUAAAAAAAGAAAAAAAAAGGUAAACUGAUUGGUAAUUCAUCUCUGCAAUUUUGUGACCAUAUUUCUAAAACAAAAUUGCCUUUAAUUGAAAUUGAUUUUUAAAAAGGGAGAGCAUUUUAUUCAAAAAUAAAUUUAUCAAAACGUUUUGUUAUAUCAAAAAGGGAGAGAUUGUUAAGUUAAGACUCUGUUUUGUAACCUGUAAAAAUUUUGCCGUAAAAGCUUUUCAAGCUUUUCUGAUGUUUGGUUUGCUGAAAAUGAUUUUUUACUGUAAAAUAUUUUACAAAAGAUGGGAAAAGGAGGUCUUUUUUUAGGAAAAUGUCCCUUUUGAAUUCGGUAAGACAUUUUCCGGAAAAUUCUUCGCUGGGUCUUGGCUUCCAUCUUUAAGAACUCAAAGCUAGCAAUCCUCAAAGCAUUCUUCUCCACCUAGGCUAUAAAAUAGAACCCUCCGUUUCCAUCUUUCAAAGCCACGAAAUCCGCCAUAAUAACUGAGAAGAACCUUGAAAAGCUAGGGGAAAUCUUUGAAUAAUGUUCCCAUUUGCCCACUUUCCUUCGUCACCGCCUCAUCUACCACCUCUCCAUUCGCAAGCUAGCCCGUGCCAACCGCCUCGACCUCGUCGACAGACUCCUCGAGACCCAAAAGCUCCAUUCUCAAGACACCCCUGCGCUCAAAUCUAAAAGUUUUUGGAUUCGUCUCAUUAUGCUUUACUCAAACGCUGGGAUGGUUCCACAAGCACUCCAAAUGCUCAACGAUUUGUCUAGAAACAGCUUUCCUUCUUAGUAGAUGCUUUGCCAAUGAGUUGUUCCCUAGUGCAACGCAAUGGUGCAAAUGAGUCCUGCCAUGGAAGUCGCGCAUAUUUAUAUCAGCACCAAACUGCAGCAGCAGCUCAAGCAUCACACAGUUCCCACCUUGGCAUGCCUGAUGCAACAAUGAACAACCUUGUAGACAGUUCCCCGGGUCAUUAGAAUCCUUGAUUCUCUGACAGUCCAAUGGAUCAUGCUGUUCCUUUUCCUCUUUCUGGCUUUCAGGAGACGAGUCUUGUGCAUCAACAACAUUAUGUGGUGUACUAUUAGUUAUGCUCUUGGACAAUGUUGUUGUUAUUAUGUGGUGUACUAUUAAUUAUGCAUUUGGAAUAAUAUUAUUAAUUUUUAGUAUUAAUUGUGGUUUGGAAGCUAAUUUGUAAUUAUUCAAUCCUUGUUUUUGUUUUUUAUAACACAAUUACAAAUAAUUUAUUUGACUUUGGUUGUUUUUAA
Molecule: long non-coding RNA, 1744 nt
Organism: Gossypium arboreum
Lineage: Eukaryota; Viridiplantae; Streptophyta; Magnoliopsida; Malvales; Malvaceae
Exons: 2
Source: RefSeq, a predicted model, not a curated record